AACAAACAGUAUCUGGAGUGUGUCUUUCUGUAUGCAAAAUAUUUCAGUAUUUUUAUUAUUUCAAGCUAUCAGAAUCAAACUUUUCAUUUGUCUUCUAUAACAUGAAGGCUUCGACUUCUGCCAUUAGACUUGCUAAAAUGCUCUGUUACCUUGUAUUUCAUUUUCUAGGGAGCAUGUUUAUUUUCUUACUCAAUGUCAUGGUAACAGAAACACUUCCUUUAUAUUGUAUCUAAGUUUGUGUUUUAAAUACAAGCAGGGCAGGUUGGAGAUUGCUGUAUAUCCCAUGUGGAAAUACAGCACUAGCUUUCUGGGUGCCAACACAUACUCCCAGCUGUUGCUCUAGGGUCACAGAUGCAUCUCACACUGAAUCAGUUAAAAAUGCAGUAGCUGUGUUUGGGGACAUAAGCUCAAAUUUUCAGGGCCUGAUUAUUCUGUUAGUUUCAUAUGUGCAAUUCCCACUGAAGUCAGCAGAAGUAGUGCAUGCAGACCUGACAGGCUAAUUUGGAGCCCAGAAAUGCAAAGGAUGUAAUCAUACAUUUGAUUUCUGUGAGUACUCAUGGUCUGAUUCUAACCCAUCUACGCAAUGUUAUGAUUUACCACAGCUUUUAAGGAUUUGGAUGGAUCGAAAAAUAUUAGGCUACUUGUGAUAUUUUAUUUUCAAUGAACAGGGGAAGAAAAAGAGAUGUGAAGUGUAUGAGCUCAUGCUGGACAAGGCCAGAAAGAAAAAUGCAUUCUACAGUGCUCUGAAACUGACUAAGACUAAUACAAUGUAUGGCAUACUAUGUAAGGAAAAGAAAUGUGAGACCCUGAGGAAUGAAGGCAAGCUAAUCAAAGGAAUAGCUAAUGGCCUAGAAGGAGGACAGGGAACAACCUGUUUCUUAUGUAGCCCACUCAGUUCUUAGUUCAGAGGGCCCGUGUACAGAGUGCUGGGACCUGAGCCCAAGAUCUUAAUGAUUUUGUCCAAAAGGGGUCAAAUUCAUGGCAAAUUCUUUAUGUCUAUAUAUUUUAUUCUUUGAUCAGAAAUGGACAAUUUCUUCCACACAGGGAACAGAGCCAAGUACUGGUGCUGGACCACACAGCACCAAGUACGUGUGAUGCUUUUGCACAUGCUUCUCCAAAAUGACUUACACCUGCAGUCCUACAACAUGCCAGAGUGAUACUGCUGGUCCAGUUGGCCUGCUGACUGAUCAGCACCUCAGGGCAAAUAAAAUUGUCAUGGAAAAUGGAUUUGGCACCUGAAUCAUCAAUAGAUUAACAGAACUGAGAAGCCCAAGAAAGACAGUGGAGGCUGGAGUGAUGCUGAUUACAUUGGAAUGUAUAGCAGUUAGUUGAACUAAUGGAGAACAGAAUUACAGAUGUCUGUAGGAAUUCAAGGAGACUUACAGUAAAGAGGGUGGGCCAGCAGUGCAGUCUGCAAAAUGGAGAACAUGAAGGUUUGCUGAGUCCUCUCUCCUGAAGCCUACAGCUUUGAGAAAUG
Neopsephotus bourkii (Bourke's parrot) is the source of this 1477-nucleotide long non-coding RNA. RefSeq lists it as uncharacterized. The record is from RefSeq and is a predicted model, not a curated record. NCBI's taxonomy places the organism in Eukaryota, Metazoa, Chordata, Aves, Psittaciformes, Psittacidae. The transcript is spliced from 2 exons.